AGGGUCCAAUAUCCCUGAUCUCUUUUUCAGUUCAUUAUUUCUGGACUUCUGACGGUUGCAGCAGCAAGUACUCCAGUCAUGAGUUUAAUGAAGUUCUCUUUUGCCUUGAACAUUAUCAGUUCUCUUUGGGGAGCAGUUGCAUUUUGUCUCAGUAUAAUACUUACUGCCAGUUCAUUCAACCCACCCCCUUUGGAAAAGACAAUCAAAGGGAUAGAAGCAUUGAUUAUAAUUUUCCAUGUCUUGGAGCUGGUUGUCAGUGGAUUGACAUGGCGUUUUGAAAGCAAGGCUUUGUUCCGUGACUCUUUCAAUGUCCUGCCUGUGAUUUACCUGGAACAGGACGCUUGAAUGUACUGCAGGACCCAAAGCAACUGAAGCAACAGUGUGUGUGUGUGUGUGUGUGUCUGUUCAUCAGAAUAUAUUUUAAAAAUAAAUCCACAACAACUGACAUUUUUCCUUCCAUUGUAAAAAGAGUAAUUAACUUUAAAAACAAAACAAACACACUUAAAAUAUAAUCAUCAGAUUCCCUUAUUGCUUUUAGGACCCCUCCUGUGCCAAGCAUCUUUUACAGCUUCAAUUAAAAAUAAAAAUUACCAUGUGUCAGAGUAUCGGUUGUAAUGAAGCUCUGGCUGUAGCAUAGUCUACCUACUUAAUAGGUAAUAUUUGUAAGGAUAAUUUUCAUACCUCCACCCAAUUAGUGGGUAGUUACCAGACUUAGUUAUUGGUUAUUCCAAUUGUGCCGUGUAACUUUUAUUGCAUUAUUACAGCUUUACAUGGUAAAGCCCGUUUUGUAUAUAACUUGGCUCCUAUGUAGAUAUCUU
Acipenser ruthenus (sterlet) is the source of this 818-nucleotide long non-coding RNA. RefSeq lists it as uncharacterized. The transcript has 4 exons. Lineage: Eukaryota; Metazoa; Chordata; Actinopteri; Acipenseriformes; Acipenseridae. The record is from RefSeq and is a predicted model, not a curated record.